Molecule: ribosomal RNA, 498 nt
Filed under: uncultured Streptococcus sp.
Lineage: Bacteria; Bacillati; Bacillota; Bacilli; Lactobacillales; Streptococcaceae
Description: bacterial SSU rRNA
Rfam family: Bacterial small subunit ribosomal RNA
Source: RNAcentral
GACGAACGCUGGCGGCGUGCCUAAUACAUGCAAGUAGAACGCUGAAGAGAGGAGCUUGCUCUUCUUGGAUGAGUUGCGAACGGGUGAGUAACGCGUAGGUAACCUGCCUUGUAGCGGGGGAUAACUGUUGGAAACGAUAGCUAAUACCGCAUAACAAUGGAUGACACAUGUCUUUUAUUUGAAAGGGGCAAUUGCUCCACUACAAGAUGGACCUGCGUUGUAUUAGCUAGUAGGUGAGGUAACGGCUCACCUAGGCGACGAUACAUAGCCGACCUGAGAGGGUGAUCGGCCACACUGGGACUGAGACACGGCCCAGACUCCUACGGGAGGCAGCAGUAGGGAAUCUUCGGCAAUGGGGGCAACCCUGACCGAGCAACGCCGCGUGAGUGAAGAAGGUUUUCGGAUCGUAAAGCUCUGAUGUAAGUCAAGAACGAGUGUGAGAGUGGAAAAUUCACACUGUGACGGUAGCUUACCAGAAAGGGACGGCUAACUACGUGC